AGAGAGCGGCGGACGGGUGAGUAACGCGUGGGUAACCUGCCCUGUACACACGGAUAACAUACUGAAAGGUAUGCUGAUACGGGAUGACAUAUGAAAGUCGCAUGGCUUUUAUAUCAAAGCUCCGGCGGUACAGGAUGGACCCGCGUCUGAUUAGCUAGUUGGUAAGGUAACGGCUUACCAAGGCAACGAUCAGUAGCCGACCUGAGAGGGUGAUCGGCCACACUGGAACUGAGACACGGUCCAGACUCCUACGGGAGGCAGCAGUGGGGAAUAUUGCACAAUGGGCGAAAGCCUGAUGCAGCAACGCCGCGUGAGCGAUGAAGGCCUUCGGGUCGUAAAGCUCUGUCCUCAAGGAAGAUAAUGACGGUACUUGAGGAGGAAGCCCCGGCUAACUACGUGCCAGCAGCCGCGGUAAUACGUAGGGGGCUAGCGUUAUCCGGAAUUACUGGGCGUAAAGGGUGCGUAGGCGGUCUUUCAAGCCAGAAGUGAAAGGCUACGGCUCAACCGUAGUAAGCUUUUGGAACUGUAGGACUUGAGUGCAGGAGAGGAGAGUAGAAUUCCUAGUGUAGCGGUGAAAUGCGUAGAUAUUAGGAGGAAUACCAGUAGCGAAGGCGGCUCUCUGGACUGUAACUGACGCUGAGGCACGAAAGCGUGGGGAGCAAACAGGAUUAGAUACCCUGGUAGUCCACGCCGUACGAUGAGUACUAGGUGUCGGGGGUUACCCCCCUCGGUGCCGCAGCUAACGCAUGUACUCCGCCUGGGAAAGUACGCUCAAGAGUGAAACUCAAAUUGACGGGGGACCCGCACAAGUAGGAGCAUGUGGGUUUAAUU
RNAcentral lists this ribosomal RNA (831 nucleotides) under uncultured bacterium. RNAcentral describes it as "bacterial SSU rRNA". It matches the Rfam family "Bacterial small subunit ribosomal RNA", at positions 90 to 951 of the family's 1533-position model. The record is from RNAcentral.